Molecule: long non-coding RNA, 2822 nt
Filed under: Sus scrofa (pig)
Lineage: Eukaryota; Metazoa; Chordata; Mammalia; Artiodactyla; Suidae
Description: lncRNA (ENSSSCG00060057905.1)
Source: RNAcentral
GGCCAUGCCCAGCGGGCCGAGGGAAAGGCUCCGACGGGGCUGCCCGGGUCCUGGCGCACGUCUGCGGACCGACCCUGGGCAUGAAAAGGUCACAGCCGCCAGGGCUGCGUCUCCGACGGUGGCCACCCUAGGUGUGCCGAUCCCGAGAAGCCGGGACCCCGGGUAACCGGCUGCUCAGCGAAGCCUGCCCCCUCCUCGAGUCCGACGGCAGGGCUUCCCGGUCCUGGGAACCCUGUCUGGGCGCUGCUGACCCAUCUCUCUUGUCGGAUGUCAGAGGGGCUAAUGUGGUUUCCAAAACUGGGAGAGAGGACGAAAGGAAGAGCCUGCGCUCUGUACUUGCUUCAAGGAGACGCAAGAAUCAGAGAACUGGCCCCCGCCCAAGACUGUAAGUGAUGGUCCAAGGAUGGGGUGUACCUGUGGGAACUUUGUGUUGCCUGAAGAGGACCCUGGUUUCAGGACUGGGGUCACACAGUACAGUUUUCUCUGUCCUCCAGAAAUCUUUAUGAGUAGCUGCUCAAAAGGAUGGGAAGCACUUGGCGUAAUAGUCCUAAGAAAAUCAUCCUGUCUCAACCAGAGCUUGAUCUUCUGCCUGCUGCUCUCAGGCUUGAUCAUGAGACUUGCUUUGGCCAACAACCUGCGAGUGGAGGUGAUGUUUGCUGUUUCUGGGCAGAAGCUCUAAGAGCUAGCCCAUAGUUCUCCACGUCCUCUCCCUGCAUCUGUCUUUGUUAGGAUGUCAGCUUGGGUUCUCAGUGAUUCAAAGCUGGUUGUUGACCCAGGAUGGAUGUGCACGAUUUUUAUUGUAUUCUUGCACAGAGAGUACAAGAGCAAUAUCAAGAAACACACAGCUCUAAGAUUCAUAAGUUGAACUCCAGCCCCCAGCCUGGCCGCGUUUGGAGAUGGGAAUUCUUAGGAAGUUAAGUGAGCUCUAAGGGUGGGGUCCCCGCCUCAUAGGAAUAGUGUCUUCUACGAGGAGACACCAGAGGGCGCUCUCGAUGCUCCCACUCCGAGGAAAGGCCAGGGGAGGACCCAGCGAGAAGGUGACCGGCGGCCUGCAAGGGGAAAGAGCCCUCAUCAGGAAUUGCAUCAGCCAGCACCUUGAUCUUGGACUUCUAGCCUUCAGAACUAUGAGGAAAUGAAUUUCUGCUGUUUAUGUCACUCGAUCUACAGUAUUUUGUCAUAACAGCCCAAAAUGCAAUUCAUACAAAAGGAAGUAUUUCAGAGAAGACUAUCAUGACUUUUUUUUGGCCAAGCCUGUGGAAGUUCCUUGGCCAGCAGUAGCCCUGUGAUCAGUGACAAAGCCAAGUCCUUAACCUCUAGGGCACCAGGGUUUAUGGUGAAACUGGAGCAGUGAAUUCUGGUGGAAUUACUUGGGAAUACAGGCAUAUGCAUGACAGUCUGGGGAAGCCAUGUUUGUGUUGUUCGAGGUGAAGAAUUAUCAUCAAUAUGCUGCUUACAUCAUAGGCUGUCCAGUGAAGAUGAAGUUUCCAACAAGGGCCUAGAAGCUCAUGAGCAUAAAGUGCUGGUGCCCUCUCAGGAAGGCUGUGAGCUGGAAGUCACUGCCAGAGAUCGAAUCCACAACCUCAUGGUUCCUAGUCAAAUUCAUUUCUGCUGCGCCAUGACCGGAACUCCGGAUUCUGUGUUUUUAAUGAAUGCACCUGAGGAAUUUUUAUGAUGGUAAGUUUGGUAAACACUGCUUUAGUCCCGCCCAGGUUGGGAUCAGAAUUCUCUUACCCAAAAGGCUGGGCAAGAUUGAGAAGCAGGGCUUCUGGUUUCAGAGGGACAUACAAGCAGUCUGUUAGGAGGCAUCCUGGAGCUAGGAUGCUGUCUGGGGGAGCGGGCUGCCACUUCCUGGGUGCUGGAUUUAGAGGACUGAGGUGUUCACAGUGAGGCUCCGGUGCUCAUGGGAACCGAGGUGACCCUGAGGGAGAGAAUGGCAGUCACGCAUCCCAGCCACAGGUGAGGGCUCUUGACGCAAACGGAAGAUUUAGGCUGGGUAGGAUUCCUAUCUCAUGGCCCAGGGAGGCUGUGGGGAAAGGCCGCUCACUCGUGGGUCAACAGCAGGGGGCGUCUCUCCUGAAAAGGAUCUUGUUCUUGGAUGGUAACCACUGGGGUGAACGGACGGUCCUUAGGAAACCAGAGCUCACCACGGAGACUAGACAGGCAGCGAGGUAACCAGUGUGUUUCAAGCCUUUCUCGUUGGGGUCCAGAUGCGAAAGGAGCUGGUGUCCUUGAAGUUCACGGUCUUGAGUUCAUCAGGGUGGCGGUGGGUGUGCCCUGGGAUAGCUGUCCCUAAGAAGAAGGGAGGACCUGAGCCGGGUGGCGCCGAGGAGCCCCUUCCCGAGGAGCCCCUUCCCACCUGGGAGCCCGCCGCCCUGGAGGGUGCCCUUGGGGUGGAUCUUCCUCAGGUGAGACCAGAGCAGGCAGGUCGAGGUGGGCGUGAGAUGUAAGGGAAUGAUUGGUUGUUUGAUCGGCCCAGAGUGGGACUUAUUGGACCGAGAGGUAAUGCUUUUGGCUCUGAUGGUUCCUAGAAACGGAAUGUUUGUGGCCCCACCGGCCCCCUAUUCAUAGUUUGAAACCUAAUCCCCAAUGUGAAGGUGUUUGGAGGCCCUGGGAGGCGAUUAGGGCAUCAGGGUGGGGCCGAUGCGGAUGGAUUCGUGCCCUUGUAAGCGGAGGAAGAGUCGGAGUUCUCCCAUCGCUGCCUGAGGACGAGGCAAGAACACGGGCUCAGGGAACAGUGAGCUGGCCCUCACCAGACUCAGAAUCUGCUUGAUCCUGGACUUUCCAGCCUCUAGGACUGUGAGAAAUAAAUGUCUGCUGUUUAU